RNAcentral lists this ribosomal RNA (389 nucleotides) under uncultured bacterium. RNAcentral's name for it is "bacterial SSU rRNA". It matches the Rfam family "Bacterial small subunit ribosomal RNA", at positions 28 to 417 of the family's 1533-position model. The record is from RNAcentral.
GACGAACGCUGGCGGCGUGCUUAACACAUGCAAGUCGAGCGGUAAGGCCCUUUCGGGGGGUACACGAGCGGCGAACGGGUGAGUAACACGUGGGUGACCUGCCCUCAGCUCUGGGAUAAGCCUGGGAAACCGGGUCUAAUACUGGAUAUGACUCCAUGACGCAUGUUGUGGGGUGGAAAGCCUUGUGCGGCUGAGGAUGGGCCCGCGGCCUAUCAGCUUGUUGGUGGGGUGAUGGCCUACCAAGGCGACGACGGGUAGCCGGCCUGAGAGGGCGACCGGCCACACUGGGACUGAGACACGGCCCAGACUCCUACGGGAGGCAGCAGUGGGGAAUCUUGCGCAAUGGGCGAAAGCCUGACGCAGCGACGCCGCGUGAGGGAUGACGGCCU